AAUCAACGCUGGCGGCGUGCCUAACACAUGCAAGUCGAACGCGAAAGUCCCGCAAGGGAUCAGUAGAGUGGCAAACGGGUGAGUAACACGUGGGUGACCUGCCUUCGAGCGGGGGAUAACGUCCCGAAAGGGACGCUAAUACCGCAUGACAUCCUGCCUUUUAAGAGGUGGAGAUCAAAGCUGGGGAUCGCAAGACCUAGCACUCGAAGAGGGGCCCGCGCCUGAUUAGCAGUUGGUGGGGUAACGGCUCACCAAGGCUACGAUCAGUAUCCGGCCUGAGAGGGCGGACGGACACACUGGGACUGAGACACGGCCCAGACUCCUACGGGAGGCAGCAGUGGGGAAUUGUUCGCAAUGGGCGCAAGCCUGACGACGCAACGCCGCGUGGAGGAUGAAGGUCUUCGGAUUGUAAACUCCUGUUG
This 422-nucleotide ribosomal RNA is filed under the name uncultured bacterium. RNAcentral's name for it is "bacterial SSU rRNA". It matches the Rfam family "Bacterial small subunit ribosomal RNA", at positions 32 to 438 of the family's 1533-position model. The record is from RNAcentral.